Brassica rapa (field mustard) is the source of this 760-nucleotide long non-coding RNA. RefSeq lists it as uncharacterized. Lineage: Eukaryota; Viridiplantae; Streptophyta; Magnoliopsida; Brassicales; Brassicaceae. The record is from RefSeq and is a predicted model, not a curated record.
AACAAGGAAAAAAAAAACAUUUAAGAGAAGGUUCCAUGGAAUUUAAUUGUCCUAGACAUCGAAAAGUCAUUGCAUUUGAAUGUCUAUAUGGCCUCAAAACUUGUCUGCUUCUUCACAUGUUUUUGUCAUCAUAUAUUAUUAGCAGAGUAUAAGUUCACUGCAUUUCCAUUUGGUGAAUCAAAAACACUACAUAUGGUUGACUUGUUUUCAGUGGCUAUUGUCAAGAAACAGAUGUGAGGAGGUUGCUAAUGAGAACUAAAUCAAAACCUGUUUCUCCAGCUCCCUAGCCCUGGCUUCUGCUGCCUGACGUUUUUCUUCCGCAUAGUGAAGCUGUAAUCCAGAUAAAUUGUUAUAAAUGAAAAAAAAAAAAAAGAUAAUAGCUUAACACUUUAAAAUAAAAUAAAAAAAAUCCAGUGAAAAAAGACAUGGAACCUUGUCCAAUACAUUCUCAUUCUCCUCUUGUAGCAUCUCCACCUGAAAUUAACAUAGAGUCAGCCUCAAGUCAAAGUCUCCUGACUAUUUUAUAAAAAAAAACAGCAAAACUUCAAUCCAAAGUUUAAAAUGGGAAUGAACACAUACUUCAUCACGAAGAGCUGAAGCUUCCCGCCGAUACCCCUUAUCUCUCGAAUUAACCAACGGUACAUCACCAUAAUAUCUGAAAAAAAAAAACUUAAAAUAUAAGGAAUCAAGCAAAGCAGCACAACAUCAUAGUAGCGUAAGGACUAAUCAUUUAAGUCAGACAUAAAAAAAAUAACAAAAA